AGAGUUUGAUCCUGGCUCAGGACGAACGCUGGCGGCGUGCUUAACACAUGCAAGUCGAACGGUAAGGCCCCUUCGGGGGUACACGAGUGGCGAACGGGUGAGUAACACGUGGGUAAUCUGCCCUGCACUUCGGGAUAAGCCUGGGAAACUGGGUCUAAUACCGGAUAUGACUCCUGGCCGCAUGGUCUGGGAGUGGAAAGUUUUUCGGUGCAGGAUGAGCCCGCGGCCUAUCAGCUUGUUGGUGGGGUAAUGGCCUACCAAGGCGACGACGGGUAGCCGGCCUGAGAGGGUGAUCGGCCACACUGGGACUGAGACACGGCCCAGACUCCUACGGGAGGCAGCAGUGGGGAAUAUUGCACAAUGGGCGGAAGCCUGAUGCAGCGACGCCGCGUGGGGGAUGACGGUCUUCGGAUUGUAAACCCCUUUCAGUAGGGACGAAGCGCAAGUGACGGUACCUGCAGAAGAAGCACCGGCUAACUACGUGCCAGCAGCCGCGGUAAUACGUAGGGUGCGAGCGUUGUCCGGAAUUACUGGGCGUAAAGAGCUCGUAGGCGGUUUGUCACGUCGUCUGUGAAAUCCCUCGGCUUAACCGGGGGCGUGCAGGCGAUACGGGCAGACUUGAGUACUACAGGGGAGACUGGAAUUCCUGGUGUAGCGGUGAAAUGCGCAGAUAUCAGGAGGAACACCGGUGGCGAAGGCGGGUCUCUGGGUAGUAACUGACGCUGAGGAGCGAAAGCAUGGGUAGCGAACAGGAUUAGAUACCCUGGUAGUCCAUGCCGUAAACGGUGGGCGCUAGGUGUGGGGUCCUUCCACGGACUCCGUGCCGUAGCUAACGCAUUAAGCGCCCCGCCUGGGGAGUACGGCCGCAAGGCUAAACUCAAAGGAAUUGACGG
This 893-nucleotide ribosomal RNA is filed under the name uncultured bacterium. RNAcentral describes it as "bacterial SSU rRNA". It matches the Rfam family "Bacterial small subunit ribosomal RNA", at positions 8 to 916 of the family's 1533-position model. The record is from RNAcentral.